UGGUUUCCAUGUAAUUUUUAUCGAUAUCGAUAUUAUCCCGAUAUUUCCAUCGAUAUUUCCGUGUUUUCGGACUACCGAUAUUUCCGAUAUUACCGAUAUUUUAUUCCUUGGUUUUUACCAAAUAGGAUACCCUACUUUUAGUGUGACUCUCAUGGAAAAAGAAUUGUAACUAAAUUCUUGUGAUGAGCCCGUUAAGGAUUGGAUUUCAAACAUAACCUUUUGUUAAUUCUCCGUUAAAUAAACACAUGUGAAUUUUACGUGAAGAGAUUAAAAUUCUACUAUCAAACCAAAUUAAAAAACUUAGAGCAUGUGAACCCUAAGUAAGAUUCACUAUGAGAUAAAAUUUAACUGAAAUUCGAUUCCACUGAAAAGAAGCUUGAAGCUUCGCAUAUAAGAAUAAAAAUUCAUUGAGAUUAGUCAAUUCAUAUAUAAAAACGUCAUUUUACACAACACGAAAACGUCAUAAAGAUGGACCAAAAGCAAAGAAUGCAGUUUGCGCAGGAUUCAUCGCCAUGUGAUGGAGGAGAGAAGAAAAAGGUCCUCCAUAUUUCCGCGGGAUCCAUCACCCAAUCAAAUGGCUGAUAUGUUGGGACUUAGUUUUGUUCAAACAUUUUUAGGCAAAUUGAACAUCCAUGCAAUCAAGAGGAAUGGUUCAGACUAUGAUUUCUCUUAUUCGGACAUGAUUCUUCAAAAACAUUCCCAUUUUACCCAAUAAACUUUGCUCAACAAGUUACCAUGAGUAAUAACGUGCAAACAUUAUCAACAUCCAAUCCCCGUGUGAACGAGUUAAUUUUUUAUCUCUACGGCCUCUUUGCAGCAAAUAAAUAGCUUUAGCUUAUGUGGGGUUUUAAUAUUUAUGUAUCCUCUUCUGUUAUGUGAUCCAUCUACAUUAUGAAUACGUUUAUUGGUUACACCACAACAUCAAGUAUUAAUAAAUAUUCCUUCAUAUUACAACACGUGAAUUACUUAUAUUUCGUGAUGUGUAACCAUGUCAAUAUCACUCUACUCUUGUACGCUAGUCACCCAUGCGCAUAGUAGCCACACAACAGAAAUUUAUGUUCUAGUAAACUUCCACUAGUAAACGAUAUUGUAUGUGUAAAUUUUAACUACUUAAAACACAAGCCACUUGUAUACCGAAAAAAGUUUUUAUAAUCAUAGACUAGCCUAAA
RNAcentral lists this long non-coding RNA (1169 nucleotides) under Malus domestica (apple). RNAcentral's name for it is "long non-coding RNA (MDOM_LNC012341)". Lineage: Eukaryota; Viridiplantae; Streptophyta; Magnoliopsida; Rosales; Rosaceae. The record is from RNAcentral.